This 492-nucleotide ribosomal RNA is filed under the name uncultured bacterium. Its description in RNAcentral is "partial 16S ribosomal RNA". It matches the Rfam family "Bacterial small subunit ribosomal RNA", at positions 29 to 507 of the family's 1533-position model. The record is from RNAcentral.
AGUGAACGCUGGCGGUAGGCCUAACACAUGCAAGUCGAACGGCAGCACAGUAAGAGCUUGCUCUUACGGGUGGCGAGUGGCGGACGGGUGAGGAAUACAUCGGAAUCUACUUUUUCGUGGGGGAUAACGUAGGGAAACUUACGCUAAUACCGCAUACGACCUACGGGUGAAAGCAGGGGAUCUUCGGACCUUGCGCGAUUGAAUGAGCCGAUGUCGGAUUAGCUAGUUGGCGGGGUAAAGGCCCACCAAGGCGACGAUCCGUAGCUGGUCUGAGAGGAUGAUCAGCCACACUGGAACUGAGACACGGUCCAGACUCCUACGAGAGGCAGCAGUGGGGAAUAUUGGACAAUGGGCGCAAGCCUGAUCCAGCCAUACCGCGUGGGUGAAGAAGGCCUUCGGGUUGUAAAGCCCUUUUGUUGGGAAAGAAAAGCAGCAGGUUAAUACCCCGCUGUUCUGUCGGUACCCAAAGAAUAAGCACCGGCUAACUUCGUG